RNAcentral lists this ribosomal RNA (1195 nucleotides) under Weissella confusa. RNAcentral's name for it is "bacterial SSU rRNA". It matches the Rfam family "Bacterial small subunit ribosomal RNA", at positions 57 to 1224 of the family's 1533-position model. The record is from RNAcentral. Lineage: Bacteria; Bacillati; Bacillota; Bacilli; Lactobacillales; Lactobacillaceae.
GUGGUCAACUGAUUUGAAGAGCUUGCUCAGAUAUGACGAUGGACAUUGCAAAGAGUGGCGAACGGGUGAGUAACACGUGGGAAACCUACCUCUUAGCAGGGGAUAACACUUGGAAACAAGUGCUAAUACCGUAUAACACUAAUAACCGCAUGGUUAUUAGUUAAAAGAUGGUCUUGCUAUCACUAAGAGAUGGUCCCGCGGUGUAUUAGCUAGUUGGUAAGGUAAUGGCUUACCAAGGCAAUGAUACAUAGCCGAGUUGAGAGACUGAUCGGCCACAAUGGGACUGAGACACGGCCCAUACUCCUACGGGAGGCAGCAGUAGGGAAUCUUCCACAAUGGACGAAAGUCUGAUGGAGCAACGCCGCGUGUGUGAUGAAGGGUUUCGGCUCGUAAAACACUGUUGUAAGAGAAGAAUGACAUUGAGAGUAACUGUUCAGUGUGUGACGGUAUCUUACCAGAAAGGAACGGCUAAAUACGUGCCAGCAGCCGCGGUAAUACGUAUGUUCCAAGCGUUAUCCGGAUUUAUUGGGCGUAAAGCGAGCGCAGACGGUUAUUUAAGUCCGAAGUGAAAGCCCACACCUUAACUGUGGAAGUGCUUUGGAAACUGGAUAACUUGAGUGCAGUAGAGGAGAGUGGAACUCCAUGUGUAGCGGUGAAAUGCGUAGAUAUAUGGAAGAACACCAGUGGCGAAGGCGGCUCUCUGGACUGUAACUGACGUUGAGGCUCGAAAGUGUGGGUAGCAAACAGGAUUAGAUACCCUGGUAGUCCACACCGUAAACGAUGAGUGCUAGAUGUUUGAGGGUUUCCGCCCUUAAGUGUCGCAGCUAACGCAUUAAGCACUCCGCCUGGGGAGUACGACCGCAAGGUUGAAACUCAAAGGAAUUGACGGGGACCCGCACAAGCGGUGGAGCAUGUGGUUUAAUUCGAAGCAACGCGAAGAACCUUACCAGGUCUUGACAUCCUUUGACCACUUCAGAGAUGAAGCUUUCCCUUCGGGGACAAAGUGACAGGUGGUGCAUGGUUGUCGUCAGCUCGUGUCGUGAGAUGUUGGGUUAAGUCCCGCAACGAGCGCAACCCUUAUUAUUAGUUGCCAGCAUUCAGUUGGGCACUCUAGUGAGACUGCCGGUGACAAACCGGAGGAAGGUGGGGAUGACGUCAAAUCAUCAUGCCCCUUAUGACCUGGGCUACACACGUG